CUCACAGAAGUCCGCAGCAAAGUCUUGCUGUGAAUGGGGUCUUUGUUCUGUGAGACUGUUUCUGAAGACUCCUGGCUCUCUGUUCGUCUUUGCAUACGAGGCUGAAACACAAAUUUGUCCAUAUGCUUUUGUUUUCAGCACGUUCGCGUCCUCAUAACUCCCCCUUUCUCACAGAAAUGCUUGAAGCUCUCUGGUAGGUGUGCUGUAUAUUGUCACGGUGGCUAACCUGUGAAGCUGUGCUGAUUUAUACCACCUGACAGCACGCUCCGUAGCGUGUGUUUUUACUAAAUCCAUAUUUUUCCAAUUUCUUCAUGCUCUUGCAGUGGCAGUUUUUUUCAAUCCAUCAGGGAGUGGGAUCCUGCAUCCAGAGUAUGUAAAUAACAGCUGUUUCCACUCAAUUUGCAUUUAUAUACUUAACACUUCAAAAUAGAUUAUUUCUAGAAGCUUUCACAAUCUGGUCACAAUUCCUACUUAGUCAGAGGUACUGGGGAGAUGUUAAUGAAACCCCUCUGGACUAGCUGAGGAAAAAAAAGAUACAGCUGCAACAAUGAAAUUCCCCAGGCAGGAUGGAUCGGUUUUGCCUCUGACGGUCGUACUUCAACAAGGCAUGAAGGAUCUCUUUUCAUCUCCUUGGGCAUCUUCAGCAUGAUUUCUAAGCAGGUGACAGUGUGCCAGUCCCAACAGGGGCAUCUCUGAACUGGGUCCAACGAUGCUGAGGACUCGAGUUGUUUGGAGAGAACAACAAUUAUGUGUCUCAAAGUAUCUGAAAUGAUGUGCAACCGUCCUGCGGCCUGCUAUAACGGUGCUUCCCUAGUGUGAAAGCAAAGGAUAUGCAAAGAUGACUUAAUGAUGUCACUGGGAUCUCUGCAGAAGCACGAUGUUCCAAGCUGGCCUUUUCUACCAGAAGGCUGAUGCCUAAACUGUAGACUGGAGUAAAGGAUCUAUUUCUGAGAAAAAAUGGUAGGUGACAAAAUAUUUUAAUAGCAGAAACAUUUAAGGACUGCAAAAUGCUAAAGGCAUGAAUUAGAAUAAAACCAUGUUUCUUGAAAGCAUUUGAUAUUAUAAAGGGCCAGUCCUUCCCUCUUUGUAAGCUGGAACGAGCUGUGUCUUUUCACUGAUUGAUUACCCAGCUAAAGCAAAGAACUCUUCCUGCCCUGAGCUACAGCCAUUCAAUGUAUGUAUGAACAUUGCAUCCUCACUGAACAAUAGUUGGAGUGAGUUUAAAAAAACAAAAUCCAAAGCAAACAUACACAGAAACAUCUCAAAUAUUUGGGAAUGCCAGGCGAUUUAGAAGGAUGAGUGAUGCUGUAGAAGCUGAAGUUUAACCAAGUUGGCCAGUUUUCAGUACAUGACAAGCCUUAAAUUCUUUAAUGUCAGCACUCAAAGCUUAUCUGCGUUUCAGGUACUUGAUUUCCAAAAACACCAAACUCCAGCAUGUCCAGUUCUAGAACUCCCAUUCUGAAAUAUUGCUUCUAUUUAUUCCCUUUACUAACGACAAACCUCUGGCCUGCUUUAAUCAGAUC
Cygnus atratus (black swan) is the source of this 1523-nucleotide long non-coding RNA. RefSeq lists it as uncharacterized. The record is from RefSeq and is a predicted model, not a curated record. The transcript has 4 exons. Lineage: Eukaryota; Metazoa; Chordata; Aves; Anseriformes; Anatidae.